CUUCCGUUGAGAGAAGCCUGAAAUAUCCAAGUGCUGCAAAAUGAUGAAGGCCGUGCUCGCUCUUGUUUUGGCUAUGGUAGCCAUCGCUUGCGCCUCGACCGGCGUCGAUGUCAUUCGCCACACUCCCGGAUAUGAUGGCUUCUAUGGUCUCUACGGAUAUGCACCCUAUUAUUAUGGAUACGGAAACGGAUAUUUCGGAUAUGAUGGACUUGGUUUCGGGCCUUACAACUACUUGGGAAGAUAUGGUCUCGGAUACCGAGGAUACUUGGGAGGACUCGGUUAUUUUUAAAAAAACACAGAAGUUAACAAUCCUAAUCCGAAACGAUGAUUCAUCUGACAUAUGAAUCAAUUAUCCAGAAAUGAAA
Long non-coding RNA from Argiope bruennichi, 365 nucleotides. RefSeq lists it as uncharacterized. NCBI's taxonomy places the organism in Eukaryota, Metazoa, Arthropoda, Arachnida, Araneae, Araneidae. The record is from RefSeq and is a predicted model, not a curated record. The transcript is spliced from 3 exons.